This is a long non-coding RNA of Athalia rosae (coleseed sawfly), 1000 nucleotides long. RefSeq lists it as uncharacterized. NCBI's taxonomy places the organism in Eukaryota, Metazoa, Arthropoda, Insecta, Hymenoptera, Athaliidae. The record is from RefSeq and is a predicted model, not a curated record. The transcript has 2 exons.
UUCUUCAAAAUUUUAUAGGUCGUUGACGAAUUUGUGAAAAAUUAUGGAAAUACAUAUUUUAAUAGACGAUUCAACGCUCUACAAAACAAGUCUCUUAUGAUUUUUCGCUAAAUCUAUUGGUUCGAAAUUUAAAUUCGAGGUCAAAGUUCAAUUUAUAUGUAUAAAAUUAUCGUUAGAAUAACUUUCGAAACAGUCGAUUUAGCGAAAAAUCACAAGAGAAUUUAUUUGCAGAGCGUUAAAUUGUCUCCUAAAAUAUGAGCUUCCAUAAUUUUCUACACAUUCGUCAAGGACCUAUAAAAUUUCAAAGAACGAAACACGUUUUUCCCAUGUCAUUUUCACAAGAAACUUCGUUGUCAAUGCGGACUAUCUCAGAGUUGAUAUCAAAAGCUCAGAUUUUCAGUAAAUUCCCUCAAAUCUAUUCCUAAGCGUUCAAGCCCCUGGGAGGAUCUAAAUUCGAAAACAACCCCAUCAAGGACCUGCACCCUACCGCUCACCUUGGUGAACAUCCCGAAGGAUACGCUCGCGAAGUGACAGGCGGUCAGAACGAACGGACGUUUUCCGAUUACCAUCGCCAUGUUCCUCUUCAUUUUCACGUCCACAGACUCCAGGAUCCAAUCGCUUUCGUACGCCGCGUGGGACACCUGCUCGCUCUGCGUCGCAUGGGUAUAAUAAGUAUAGCAGCGAUUAAAUGGCGAUGACUCGGUCGAUAUCACAGAUGGAUCGAUUCGGCAGAUGUUUUCUUUCGGGACCACCACCAGGGCAGAAAAAUUGAAAACAGUUUAGCAAAGUUCAAAGAAUAGUUUGAAAAAAAGUGGACCCUUUGACGUGCUGAAAUGAAAGAAAGGAAAAAGAAAAGGAGCAAUGAAAACGACCUUUUGAAAGUAACGUUUCGAGAUCACUUUUAUUCCACAUUUUAAUGUAAAACUAAACGAUCGUCGUAUAUAUAUAUAUAUAUAUAUCAUUUAUAAAGGUAUUAUCUAAAAGUCUUAAAGAUUAAAAA